This 777-nucleotide ribosomal RNA is filed under the name Triticum aestivum (bread wheat). Its description in RNAcentral is "partial small subunit ribosomal RNA". Lineage: Eukaryota; Viridiplantae; Streptophyta; Magnoliopsida; Poales; Poaceae. The record is from RNAcentral.
AUGCGCGCCUUCCACCUCGGAUGGAUGUCCUUCUUCACCUGCGUCGUCUCCACCUUUGCCGCUGCGCCGCUCAUCCCCAUCAUCCGCGACAACCUCAACCUCACCAAGGCCGACAUCGGCAACGCCGGGGUCGCAUCCGUCUCCGGCGCUAUCUUCUCUAGGCUGGCCAUGGGCGCCAUAUGCGACCUCCUUGGCCCGCGGUACGGCUGCGCCUUCUUGGUCAUGCUCUCCGCGCCAGCAGUGUUUUGUAUGUCCGUCAUUGAUGGUCCUGGUGGAUAUAUCACUAUUCGCUUCCUCAUCGGUGUCUCCCUCGCCACCUUUGUGUCAUGUCAGUAUUGGAUCAGCACCAUGUUCAAUAGCAAGAUCAUCGGCACGGUCGGCGGCUUGACGGCGGGUUGGGGUGACAUGGGUGGCGGUGCCACACAACUCAUCAUGCCUCUCGUGUUCGACGGCAUCUUGGCAUGUGGUGCGACGUCCUUCACAGCGUGGCGCAUCGCCUACUUCGUGCCAGGAAUGAUGUUGGUGGUGAUGGGCUUGCUUGUGCUCACCAUGGGGCAAGACCUUCCUGACGGCAACCUAAGGAACCUUCAGAAAAAUGGUGACAUGAACAAAGACAAGUUCACCAAGGUUCUCCGGGGCGCUGUCACCAACUAUCGUACAUGGAUCUUUGUCUUCAUCUAUGGCUACUGCAUGGGCAUCGAGCUUACCACCAACAACGUCAUCGCCGAGUACUACUACGACAGUUUCCACCUCGACCUCCGCGCUGCCGGUACCAUC